RNAcentral lists this long non-coding RNA (373 nucleotides) under Musa acuminata (dwarf banana). Its description in RNAcentral is "long non-coding RNA (MACU_LNC007805)". The record is from RNAcentral. Lineage: Eukaryota; Viridiplantae; Streptophyta; Magnoliopsida; Zingiberales; Musaceae.
GGUGUUGCGCCUAAGCCAGUGAAAUAGAGUUUCCUCGGUGCCAGUUUGAUUCUGUAUUCUGUAUUUGGAGAUGAGAAAAGAAGCUACUCUACUGUCGAAAGCCCAGUAUCAAGGGCAAGGCGAAAGAGUAGAGAACUAUGGGGCAAUAAUGAGAGUCUUCAUCCCGAGUUGCCCCUGGCGAGGUAAAGUAAAGGCAAGGAUGCGAGGUCUACUUCAGCGGAUCCAACUCAGUUACAAGAUCAUAAGCUGUUAGGUCACUGAAUUCUAUCAUUGGUACUCGAGGUCAAGGAGCAAGUGUAGUUCAAGAUUCCAGUGGAGAGGUCGGCGCACCUUAAAGGGAUAGAUCUAGCUACUAUUACAAUUUGGAUAAAAG